This 497-nucleotide ribosomal RNA is filed under the name uncultured bacterium. Its description in RNAcentral is "partial 16S ribosomal RNA". It matches the Rfam family "Bacterial small subunit ribosomal RNA", at positions 28 to 507 of the family's 1533-position model. The record is from RNAcentral.
GAUGAACGCUGGCGGCGUGCCUAAUACAUGCAAGUCGAGCGAACAGACGAGGAGCUUGCUCCUCUGACGUUAGCGGCGGACGGGUGAGUAACACGUGGAUAACCUACCUAUAAGACUGGGAUCACUUCGGGAAACCGGAGCUAAUACCGGAUAAUAUAUUGAACCGCAUGGUUCAAUAGUGAAAGACGGUUUUGCUGUCACUUCUAGAUGGAUCCGCGCCGCAUUAGCUAGUUGGUAAGGUAACGGCUUACCAAGGCGACGAUGCGUAGCCGAACUGAGAGGGUGAUCGGCCACACUGGAACUGGGACACGGUCCAGGCUCCUACGGGAGGCAGCAGUAGGGAAUCUUCCGCAAUGGGCGAAAGCCUGGCGGAGCAACGCCGCGUGAGUGAUGAAGGUCUUCGGAUCGUAAAACUCUGUUAUUAGGGAAGAACAAAUGUGUAAGUAACUAUGCACGUCUUGACGGUACCUAAUCAGAAAGCCACGGCUAACUACGUG